Molecule: ribosomal RNA, 253 nt
Filed under: uncultured bacterium
Lineage: Bacteria
Description: partial 16S ribosomal RNA
Rfam family: Bacterial small subunit ribosomal RNA
Source: RNAcentral
UACGGAGGGUGCAAGCGUUAUCCGGAUUUAUUGGGUUUAAAGGGUGCGUAGGUGGAUUAGUAAGUCAGUGGUGAAAUCUCCGGGCUUAACCCGGAAACUGCCAUCGAUACUAUUAGUCUUGAAUAUCCUGGAGGUGAGCGGAAUAUGUCAUGUAGCGGUGAAAUGCUUAGAUAUGACAUAGAACACCAAUUGCGAAGGCAGCUCACUACGGGAUUAUUGACACUGAGGCACGAAAGCGUGGGGAUCAAACAGG